GCCAUUGAGGUUCUAGAUCUUUGGGGAUGUUUACGAUCCUCCAGUGGAGUUACUUGCUUCGUUUGAGCAGAGCUGUAUUUGCUCGGGCUCCUCGUCAAGGGUGGAUGAGAGAACCCUCGUAGUCGAGCCAUAAAUACAGUGAACCUUGCAACUCCAGAUUCAAUUUGAUGGAGCGUCUUCAAAAUCUACAACUAAUUCUCCUGCCUCCCGUUCACAAGUUAGAAGGACCGUCCGUCAAGCCUCGUCCGGUCAAAUAGGUGGCCUCUGCCAAAAGCUUAUGCACUCUUAGCGACUCUAACUUUAUGUUUCUUUUGGUGCAAGCUUCUGGUUGUAACUCCAUCUGCUACUGAAGUUCUAUAAUUUCCCCUUCCUUCUAUUAUUAUGUUUUUUUCUUCUUAUUAAGAAAACGUGAGCGAUUAUUUUGUGCUACGAUGACACUGUACUAGAUCAUUUCCACCUGGUUCACAAUUCACAAACGAGUGCUUCGUGGCCUCGUGUGGACGUGUCAACUUUUGCAGCUGCAGUCCGUCCGCAUGAAAACAACGUAAGAAACAAUCGGUACGGUUCCGGAAGCCUGGCCGGCAGUGCAGCAGCCCGGCACCUGCACCGCGUUCGCGUCCAGGUGAGGCCGACCUGACCUGACCCCCCAACCUCCCAUGGCUCCACCGAGCGCCCGUAUCGACGUGUCGAAUCCAAUCCAAUCGACCUUUAUGCUGCCGCCAUGAAUUCACUCGCUUUCCUUUGCCGCCCGUCACCACUGACGCCUUCCGCCUCCCCCUCCAUCUCCCUCUCCGUCCCCCAGUCGUCCUGUAUAAAGCUCCCCCGCUCGCGGCCAGCAGCUCACCGCCACCGCACCGCCGCCGCCGCCAGGAUUUCCUCCCGAACCGUCGCCAUGGCAACCGCUGCUGCACCACCGGUCAUGUGAGUCUGCAGAAUCUUCAGUCUGCCGCUCGUGCUGUUCCGGAAUCUGGAUCUAGAAUAUUAAAUUGCUCGAUUUCCUAAUGUCGUGUUCCAUUCUCUAAUCGGACAUGUGCAGCUUCCCGAAAGAAAAUCUCCCCCCUUCCCUGACCUCCACCUCAGAACCCCCUCCGCUCUUCGAUGGCACGACCAGGUGAAUUUUAACCCAACUGGAAAUGGAAUUGCGUUGCAGAUAUAUCUCGUGGUUUAUCACUUCUGCACAUAUCUAAGGAUAAACUGAUUUUUAUUUCUCCUGUAGGUUGUAUGUUGCAUAUCACUGCCCGUACGCGCAGCGCGCUUGGAUUACCAGGAACUGCAAGGUAACACGCUAGCGUUCUUUGAUUUGCUGAUUUGCAGUCCAUAGUCCACACUUUCACUGGACUUGUGCUGAUAAAAGUUGCAUCUUUUCUUUAUAUGCUUUAUUGUCCAGGGUUUGCAGGACAAGAUUAAGAUAGUAGCGAUCGAUCUGGCAGACAGGCCAGUUUGGUACAAGGAAAAGGUUUAUCCAGAGAACAAGGUAUGGUUAAUCUCAGUUCUUUCUCACGUGUAUAAUCUCUUGCUCUGUUUGCAGUCCAUCAUUUCUCUGAUCUCCAUGCACACGUACCUUUAUUUUACUACAGGUGCCUUCACUGGAGCAUGACAACCAAGUGAAAGGCGAGAGCUUGGAUUUGGUCAAGUACAUUGAUAGCAAUUUCGAAGGCCCAGCUUUGCUUCCUGAAGUAUGCAUAUUUGUUCAACCAUCAUAAGAGUGAUGCUUGUACAGAGAUUACAACAAUUUCUCGGUGUUAUUUACCUUUGCAUCCAUAAACUGGCAGGAUUCUGCAAAGAAGCAGUCCGCUGAGGAGCUACUUGCGUAUACAGAUGAGUUUAACAAAGCAUUAUACUCAUCCAUACUCUCCAAGGGAGAUGUGUCAGAGGAAACUGGUAAAAGAGCAUCGCUAUUACUGUAACCUGUUUAAUCAUUUGAUAACUUCUACACGCAAUUUGUAUUCAUAUUAUAAUUGCAAUCUAUCAUGCAUUAUCUUUCAUUAGUUGCCGCGCUGGAUAAAAUAGAAGCUGCCCUGGGAAAGUUCACCGAUGGUCCUUUCUUGCUUGGCCAGUUCAGUUCGGUAUGCACAUCAGUCUGCGGUUCCUGUAAAUUUCCUUUGAUAAAGGACUAGAAAGAAUUGUGGUUAACAUGUGCUCUUGCUGUGAUGCUAAUUUCUGCACAGGUGGACAUUGCAUAUCUUCCAUUUAUUGAAAGGUUUCAGAUAUUCUAUUCUGGUAUCAAGAACUACGAUAUCACCAAGGGCAGACCGAACUUUCAGAAAUACAUCGAGGUGAUUCUGAAUGAUACGAGAUGAGAUUAUGCCAUAUUUUAAUGUUAUGUUAAGAGGAAUUUUAGGAGACACGCAAAUUAACAUGAGCCGUUAAUUUUCCAAAAUCCAAUGGCUAGAACCAUGUAGGCGUAGUUGUUGUGGACACCAUGACAAUAGUACUGUUAUCUCAUGGUCCCUCCUCACAAAUAUAUAAGGUCAACGCGGAAUUUUGUGUCAAACUUUGACCAACUAUUAGACUAGUAGUAUGAGGUUAUUACAAUGCAAAAGUGAUAUUAUUGAAUUUGUAUUGGAAAAUAUAUUCUGAUGGUAUAACUUCUAUACAUAUAUAUCCAAAUAUUUUUUGUCCAAUGAUUAGUCAAAAUUUGACAUAGAAUUCCAUGUUGGCCUUGUAUAUUUGGAAGGAGUGAGUAAUCAGUAACCUUAUGAAGUUUAGAUUUUGCACUUUGCCCAAGUAUAAAAGUAAAUGAUAACGCCAUUAGAGCAUGAUGGCAAAAGGAUAGAAAGAAUUAGUGCUAAUUACCAUGAUCUUACCUUCCUCUUUUGGCCCCAUUACUUGUUUCUGGAUUGACUUAUUUUUCUUUGCAUGCCAAGGUUUAUUAAACCACUAACCAUUGGUAACAAUACACAUAUGAUUGUAUAUUUGUUAGGCUGAAAUUUUUGGUCUAUAUGAAAAAGGCACGACCGAGGACCUAAAAAACUUUUUGUAGGUUCUUGAGUUGCCCAUAGCCCACUGUGAAUAUUUUCACAAAACUUGAAAUCUGAACAUAAUGUUGAGUCAUGUAUAUGUGUUUUUUUUAAAGUAUAUUUCCUUUUUGAAAGAGAGCACAUGCCAAGGCUAUUGUUCUGCCAAGGCUGUAAUUUCAUGGCAACCCUUUGCCGAGGAGAAGGCUUAACUCCCAAUUGAUAUGUUACAGGAAGCAAACAAGAUCGAUGCGUAUACACAGACCAAACUGGAACCACAAUUUCUGCUUGAUCAAACAAAGAAGCGUCUUGGGGUAACAUGUUUCUUUUCUUUACAGCUUUGUUGUGUAAUUUUCUUCAAUUGUCUAAUUGUUUUGCACUUACACACUUUAACUUUCAGAUUGAGUGAAUAUGUCACCAAGGAUAAACAAGAGGCGCAGCAUGGAAUAUGAAGACUUAGUCACUCGAUCAGGAGUGUGCUUGUUUGUUAGAUGGUAUUUGAAUAAAAAAGAUGUAUGCUACUAUGCUCCUGCCUUUUGAGAAUAAGGUGGUUGUGUUGUGAUUAUAGUUUGACGGUAUGCCAAUGUUUAUGGAUGAGAAUAAUCAUAUACUCCCUCGGUCCCAAGUGACUCGAAUUUGUCCAAAUAUGGAUGUAUCUAUACCCAAAAAACGUCUAGAUACAUGUAGUAUUUCGUCACUUAAUAUGGGACGGAGGGAGUAUUUUGUUGAAUGUUUAUGAGUAUAGUGAAACGAUGCUUCUAUGAUAUCAUGUUAACCAUUUACUUGUGGUCUUCGUAUUAAAACUAGCAUAGUGCCCUUGCGUUGAUACAAAACCAAAUAAAAAGAGCAAGGAUAUAAUUUGCCAAAUGAAUGCUUUUCUUUGGAUUGAUCAUCGGUCAUAUGCGUAAGACUAUUUCACAUGGAUUUGUAUAAGAAUCUAUAUAAAUCCACAUCAUUUAUUUUGGGACGGAGGGAGUAAUAGUUAAACGGGAAAGAAAGACAAUGGAUCACUAUGCUUGUUCAGACCAUAGCUGCAAAUGGUGUUGCCACAAAUUUGUACUUCUCGCUUUCAGUACUUCUGUUUUUUCAAAACCUGUCACUGUCAGUACUCGGUACAGUACCUUUUAGUUUGGCAGGUCGCGAAGAAUUGUCAGAUCCAGCGAUCGCACCAGCUAAAUUGUAGGGCAGUUUUCCCCUUGUGCCAUGGACGUGUCUUCUUUACGAAAAAUGAUACGCCAUAUCGUUAAUUGUCCCUGAGAAACUGCAGCAAGAUGUAUGCGGGUUAUAUGGUGCCACGAUCCAUGAGUGACAUGGCAUCGGCCAGUACCACUCCUUUCUUCUUCGCGGUUGAUCGUCACAGCUGACGCCUGAGCUCAAGUUUUCUCCAAAUCUUCCCUACCAGCCUCCACUGACUACUGUACUCUGGUUUACCAGUCUACCCGAGAACAGUACUGUUUCCGCUUACAAAAUCCGCAUUUCUGCGCAUCCUGAAUCCCUGAUCACUGCCUUGGCAAUGGCAGCAUCACCAGCAAGCAGGGACAUGUGCAGUUCCUUUCUCACUCUGCUGCCAUGAUCAUGAUCAUAUAUACUACUCCCUUGGUCCCAUAAUUCUUGCCGCCGUUUUAGUUCAAAUUAUGGGACGGAGGGAGUAUGAUAUAGCUGAGCUGAAUCUGAGAUGAACAUUUGUAAGUUUAUGAUCUCUCAGUAUGAAAUGUAGGUUUGCUGAAGAAGCUCUCCCGCGUACCUUGACAUCCGCGUCCGACCAGCCACCUCCCUACGAUGGCACAGCCAGGCAAUCAAUCCCGUGUUUUGGGCUGUCUGUAAUGCGUUUUACCUUGCUCACAUGUGGGGAUUAAUAAAGCUGGGAUUACAUACAGGUUGUACAUGUCGUACACUUGCCCGUACGCGCAACGAGCAUGGGUCACGAGGAACUGCAAGGUACCAAACCGAUUAACCGAGCCGUUCUUGUGAUGAUGAUGUUCUUCAUUUUCCCACAUGAGCUGCAUGCCUACUUUGGUUAGUUUCACUUCAUCUUUCUGCGUUUUGCGUUGCCGUUGUUUCCGGCAUCAGGGUUUGCAGAAGAAGAUCGAGUUAGUCCCCUUGGAAAUGGCAGAUAGGCCAGCGUGGUACAAGGAGAUUUACCCCAAGAAUACGGUGUGGCUGUACUAAAAUACAUACAAGUCUCCUACUCCCUCCGAUUCAUAAUAAGUGUCUUGAACUUUGCAUGGAUCGGAGGGAGUAUUUUAAUAUAAGUCUCAUGUUUAAUCCUAUAUGUUUUCUUGUGCUGACAAGGUGCCUAGCUUAGAGCACAACAACAAAGAAUAGGAGAGAGUUUGGAUUUGAUCAAGUAUAUUGACAGCAACUUCGAAGGCCCUAAACUGACUCCUGAUGUGAGUCAAUAGUAACCGUUUUGUCUCCAAAUGCUGAAGUAGCAUGCACCGUCUCUUAGGUUGGCAUCCCCAUUGACAACCUUUUGUUUUUUCUUUUUUUAACUAAUUUACUUUAGGAUUCGGAAAAGCGAAGGUUUGCAGACGAACUGCUGGCUUAUUCAGAUACCUUCAAUCUGGCGAUGCUCUCCGGGCUGACCUCUACGAGUCCUGUGACUGCUGAAGCUGGCAAGAAUUGAGAAAAUUUACUAAGUUUCAGUUCUAAAUUAUACUACUCUCUCUGUCUAACAAAGGAUGUCUCAACUUUGACUAAAUUUUAAUGCAUCUAUACACUAAGUCAUGUCUAGAUACAUUCAAAUUUUGACAAAUUUGAGACAUCUUUUGUUUGACGGAGGGAAUACUAUAUUCAAACUGGCUACUGUACUCACUUAUGAAAGCAUUAUUGAACCCUUAUCAUCAGUUGCUGCUCUGGACAAAAUAGAAUUCUCCCUUUCAAAAUUUGACGAUGGGCCUUUCUUCCUUGGCCAGUUUAGUCUGGUAAGUUGCAGUUUAUGUCUUGUCAGCUAUAGUGUUUUAGUCAUUCAAAGAACUAACGACGUUCAUUUGGUAGGUGGACAUCGCAUAUGCACCAUUUGUCGAUGGAUUCCAGAUAUUCUUCGCUGACAUAAAGAAUUACGAUACCACCGCAGAAAGGUCUAACACACGGAGAUUCAUCGAGGUAGCAAAAACCAUAACAUCUUUUGAGUGUCCAUUAUCCUUGAUUUACAUAUGACACCAAAGGAAAAAAAUUGUCACAGGAAAUGAACGACAUUGCGGCAUACGCGCAUACAAAGUAUGACGCCCAAGAACUGGUUGCUCUCACAAAGAAGAAGCUCGGGGUAAGGCGUUCUAGCCGUGAUUAGCUGAGUAUCAAUGCCAAUACUGAGGUAUAUAUAUAUGCACUUUCUUGUGAUACUGAUGGAGUGCUGAUGUUUUACUGCAGAUAUAAAGGAUAUUUCACUUGACGAACGUUGCAUGGAGCACAUAUGUGACCAGCCUGCCUGCUCCGAGCGCAAUAAAAUAAUAAAGGAAAUAGUUGUACUGUAUUCACUAUGUAUUUCUAGAUGGAGAGGUAUUACUAGUACUCCGUAAUAAAAGAAAAUAGUUGUACUGUAUUCACUAUGUACAAAAUGUGAUACUUUUUAUGGAGUGCUACCAGAACCGCUCAUGCCACCAACUGUCGAAACACAAAAACCUCCCGAUUCGCCUAAAACCGGAACUAUAGGGGACUAGGUACCACUGUACCCGGGUUCAGGGAGGUCAAUCCCACGCUCUCGUGUACUUGAGCAUAAUGUAAGAACGGAACAAAACAAAAAUUCCUCAUCUCAGACACGAACUACGCCCAGAGUGCACCAGACUUCUAGCUGCAUGGCUGCAACCUCCAGGCUAUAGAGCACUCGAAUACAGUUUCAGAGUGCCAGCGAGAAAAUAUCAAGUAUUAACAUUUAUGGGACGAAUUCGUUCAGCUGCUUCUACUGUGAAGGGAAAUAGUAUAACUUCCAGGUUACACAGGAAAGAUGAGAAUGAAAACAGUACAGUUCAACUGAGCACCAGCAGAAAAAGCAUGAAUCAAGCGGUCAGUCGAAGGGAGCUUGUAAAACCAUACAUUUCUACCACAUGCAUGGAUAGACUUCAAAUCCUAGCAGGGCCAAUUGUAAGAAGGUGAUUCAAAUAUGAUAAGAUUUGGUGGGUUAAUGAAUAACCCGCAUGGUAACAGCAUUGUUCAGACAGAAACCCUUGUUUUUAGCAAUGAAGGCAUUGGUUGCAUCAGUCUUCGAGCGGAACUUAACCAGCACCAUUCUUAUGGGCUCUGGGUCGCCAGGUCUGUGCACCAGCCAUCCAGAGAAUCAGACAAGGAUGAAUGUAGCGAACAACAUCCUAGCAAACAAAGAUGGCUAACAAAAAUUAUCACCUGAUAAAGUUUUCAAAUGGAGGAGGUUCGAAGUUAGUGCCACACAAGAAGCGUUCUAUGUCAUCUGGUUGAGCGUUUCGAGGGACUCCUUGCAGUAGUACCUGGAUAGACCCAAACAGCAAAAACAAAAGUAGCAUCAUGAUUAUUUCCACAUGAAAUCACUCAGAAGAUAUCAAUAAUUGCAUGAUACAUUGCAGGAACAAGAGCAUGAAUUAAACUGUCAACAGAAAAAGGGACUUUCCUCCCCUACUGCAUUUCUUGAUAUUUGCACAAUCAAUAGCAUCGGAGAAGAGAGGUAAUGUUAGCUGUAUAACUUAUCUAGUAAAAGGCAACUAUAUCACUUACAGCUUUUCCAUCAUAAGACUGCUUGUGAUCCCACUCAUCACGAUUUAUCUGUGAUAUCAAAUUAGAAUAUAUAUAUCAGUGUAAAAGAAUUUACUGAAACCAACUAAGAAAAUUGAUAAAAGUAAUUUCAGUGACAUUACCCUCUCAAGCCUGUACAGGCGACCCUGACUUAUUUGCCUCAAUGCUGCGUUAAAUGCUUGAAUGGAAGGAAACUUCAACAACCUGAUCAGGUGUAGACAUUUUCAGGUUGAUACUCACUUUAAGAAAUCAGCAAGAUAAAGCUAUAUUCGACUGAGAACCCACGACAAUGUCAUAAUACCAACUAUACUACUACAGAAGAAUCAAAGAAGGCAUGCCAUACAUUUGUAACAAAGACAGAUUUUGAUAGGACGGAAUUAGCUAACCGUGCUUAAACAGGCUUUCUUAGUAUCACGUGGAGAACAUUAAUACGAAGAAAUUAUAUCAGACAUGCAAGGAAAAGUGAAAUGAACUACAAAUGCUCACUUUGGUAUACUGCAUUAAAAGAUCGUUACUACAUGUCUACACCACGCAGACAGAUCAACAAAGCCUAGUAAGGACUCACAAACAAUUUAGCCUAAGCAUAGGUGGGGCUUCUUGAAAAACUAACAAAAAUUAUCCAAUCCAUGCAUGAACCACAAAACAAGGUGCGCAUUCAAGCACGUCCUAAAAGGUUCAAAACAAUGCAAAGAACCAAAUCAGUUGGAAACUCUCAAGCACUACUGAAUGCAAUAGACAUUAGUAUAACCUUUCGAGCAUAUGCAGCCCCAAGUUCAAGUGAAAAUAAGGUACAUAAAUGGAUAAUAUAGAACAUCUAUGUUUCAUGCCGAAGAUCAGAAUCGGAGUAAGAAAAUAAACCGUACGCAGCCAUGGGAUAAUAUCCCCUGUUGUAAUCAAUCUUCACAUCAUCCAGCGACAAUUCACAUUUGUCCAGGUAAUGGAUGAUGUCAGUUUUCAGCAUGUUCUUGCCUAGACGGCUGCCUCCAGAAAUAGCACUGUAGAACUUCCCAUAAUAGGCCAAGCCUGUUGCAGCAGAUCAGUGUUAGUGAAAUGAACAACAUGAUGGUGUUCAAAUGCAAGUAGAUCUCAAAGUUUUCUUAUUACAAAAUGGAGGAAAUCACUUAACUCUAAAAGGGCAAUAUAGUAUAAUUACUAUGAAAAUAAUUAUUCCCUCCUUCCAUAUAUGUAAGGCCCCAUUUGAAAAUCUCCGGUACCAAGACAAAUAGCCCGUAUCUUGGAGAAGUUUUUUGUUUUUGUUUUGAUCAAUAGAUUUGGAACCCAAAAGACUUGCAAUUAAUGUAGAUUUAUAAUAGUAGACAUGAAAUGGUCGUACUUAAUGAAGAAUUGGAACCCAAGAGACUUGCAAUUAAGCGGGCACGGUUUAAAAGAGAAAAGUUCAAAAGUGGCCUUGUAUUUUGGAAAAAUAAGAUUUGGAAAGGGGCCUUACAUGCAUUGAAGGAGGGAGUAGUAUUCAUGUAUAGGAUAGUGUAGUACUCCCUCCGAUCCAUAUUAAUUGUCUCAAAUUUGCCCAAAUAUGGAUGUAUGUAUGCCUAAAAAGCGUCUAGAUACAUGUAAUAUUUCGACAAGUAAUAUGGAUCGGAGGGAGUAGCACCUAAGUCCUAAGCCAGCAAGGCAAGGGUACAAAAGCUAAAACAGAUGGACAGUAAAUCCUUCUGCUGGUCUCAUAGGAACAACAUACCCAGUUUGAAUAACGCAUAUGACAACAGCAAAAUAGCCUUUUAAAUUUCUGUUUCUACCAGUCAAAGAAUGUCUAUACAUAGUUCUCUUUAAUAGGAAUAACAAAAUCCAAAAAUGUAUGCUUCAGAAGUCAGGACGCAGGAGUAGGAACGAUAAAACUACAUAAAUCAGAGAAACACAUGAAAAUAAAAUCAACAUGAUGCCAUGAUCGUAGUGGAUGGAGGUAAAACUGUCCUCCUUGCGGGCUUGGUUGGAUACAGUGUGAUCCGACUGAAUCCCAUUGGACCCAUAGCGAAAAUGAAAGAAAAUCCUUUCAAUCCAAAGAAGCUCUUUGGUUUAUACCUUGGCGAACGACACAUUUUUUUUUCAUUGUUACUGGUCACAGUACACCCAAAGAACGUGAUGUUCUACACUAAGAUUACAACAUUAUCUCGCUUUUUAGAGGCUGUGACCUGCAUUCUCAGAGUUUGACUCUAAUAUCAUUUAUCACAAACUCACAACAGGGACUAAAAUAUGAACUCGAUCACCCGGUCCACCACAACACAUUAACUCAUAGUCCAUGCUGUAAAAAAAAACUGCAUAGUCCAUCAUCCUACAUUCCGACGCUCUUAGCUGGUAGAGACCAUUAAACCCUAAACCCCAGAGAAAUAAACUUACGAGCAUACGAGAGAACACCUAUAAAUUACAAAAACACAGCACAAGGAUGCGAGAGCUACCUUCGCUGGACGCUUUGGGGAAAGAGUCGUCUUGUGAUCCCGCUUCGACGCCGCUUGCGUCAGUGGAGAAGAGACGAGCGGAUGCCGGAUAUGCUGCCGCCGAGAUCGAGUGAGAGCGCACCCCAGAUGCGGUCACGGCGCGGCGGAGGGCAGCGGCCGCGAGCCUCGACAUGUCUCCGGCUGCGCGGCGGCGGCGGAGGGGUGCUGGCGUUGGGCGGAGUUGGAUUCAGGAGGAGAACGACGCGAAUGGACCCCGAAUGGGUUGUGACGGGUGGUAGCAAUAUUUGCGGGCUUCUUUGGACCCACUUGUGCAAAUGGGCUUAUUGGUUCUACAGAGCUACUGGACUUUCUUUGUAAGCUUACAGUUGCUGAAAUUAUUUUAUAAUUUGACUGUGAAAAAAUACAAAUAAGAGUAAAAGGAAAAAUGGUUGCCAAACUAUUCAAAAAAGGUGAGCCAAACGGGAUUAUGAGAACCACCGCAGUGCUAGAUGCAGCCUUAGUGUAAAUGGUAAGUUAUGUAGUUCAAUACGGAAACUCCGUGCGUAUGACACUUUUUUCGAUAUAAGAUAAAGGGAUUGACUACCACACAGUCCAUGCUCGGUCCUGCUCUGCUCCUUCCUAAUGCCGCUGGCUAACGGUUUUCUUUUUCCUUUGAGCUUGCGGUGUUCUGCUGACUUUCUUUAGCCUUCUAGGUCAUAAAGCACUUUGGACUUAGCCAAGAACUAUUCCGCCUUUCAGAAAAAUAGACACUGCUAGGUCAAAAACUAAACUAAACACGUACCACAUGCCACUGAAAAAAUUAUAGUUGCGGUCAUUAUACAACUGUGAAAAUUACAGUUGCAAUUAUUGUGCAAGUGAAAAAAAUCACAGGUGCAAAUAAAAAGCUAGAGCUGCAACCUCAUGCAACAAGGAAAUUUUCAGGUGCAACCAAAAAAUUACAGUGCAAUCCCAUACAAUGGGAAAAAAUAUUACAGUCUGACUGAAACAAUUACGGUUGCAAACUCCAUGCAAUUGAGAAAUUACGGUUGCAACCAUCGUGCGAUUGAAUAAACUAAAGUUAUGCAACUGAAAAAAUUAUAUUCGAAAUCAUUGUCCAACUAAAAAAUUACAAUUGCGACGCCCAUCCAACUCGAAAAAUUGCGGUUGCAAUCUGCGUGCAAUUUUGGUAUUUGGAAUGUACAACUCGUCCAAAACAAAAUUUAGGACACAAAAAUAUAAAAUAAACAAGAAAAUUUCCUAGUAUAUAUAAAUUAUUGUGGAGAUCAUAAAACAAAAUAGACCUAAAUAAAUAAUUAUAAAGAAAAACGCAUAUUGGUGCAAUAUUAGCUCAGCAUGCAACUUAUCCUAAUUACUCGCUCUAAACAGCAGAGUUUGCAUUUGAAAAGACAAAACAAAAAUAGAAAGCAUAAUACAAACAAAGGAAAGUCAAGGGGGAAAAAAGAAGCAAAAAGGAAAAAUAAACUGCUAAUGGGCUGCAAAUGGAUUCGAACUCAGUACUUCUGAGUAUUAUGACACAAACUAUACCAACCACCGAACCAACCAAUUGAUGUAGCUAGAUGGCAGUUGUUACCUUAUUUAUCUGAGAUUUGUUUGCACACAACUUCAGCACGAAUCGCGACGCCAAUCCGACGGUCAACGCUGUCGACUGAGAAAAACAAAUUCUCAGGCAACUGUUCCCUUGCAAUUCCAUAAGAUAAAUUGUAGAUUUGAUUUUCCCAUUCAGCCCUAGAUCUAGCGUGUUUUUUAAUAGGACACAGAACUACGCAUGGAAAGCCGUGAUGUGAGUAGGUCCCCUUGUAAUCUAAAAGAAUGACCUAUGAUUUAAGUUGGAACUGUAAGCUUACAAAGAAAUAAAAAAUACCUAGUUUUAACAUUCUCUAAUGUUUGGGGAUGAUGAUCCGUUGAGCUUCAUUAUUCUUUUGCUAACUGUUCAUGAAUAUAAAGCUCGCCAGGAUGGUGGUAUUCCCCUAAAUAAAAAGAACUUCCAACUGAUCCAUCACAUAUUCAAACUCCAAAUAAAUCAGCUUUAACCUAUGUGGUAUCAGGUUUCAAACUGGUUUCUACCAUGAAAAAUACAGUAAAAAAUAAUCUAUCAUCAUCAAUUGCGCUGGUGCCAGGAGACAUGGCAAUUGGAGUCGACGCU
Molecule: long non-coding RNA, 12215 nt
Filed under: Brachypodium distachyon (stiff brome)
Lineage: Eukaryota; Viridiplantae; Streptophyta; Magnoliopsida; Poales; Poaceae
Description: long non-coding RNA (BDIS_LNC001354)
Rfam family: MIR1120/MIR1122 microRNA precursor family (bases 5613-5748)
Source: RNAcentral